AAUUUUUUGCCUCCAUAUAAGACUUGCUAAAAUAUUCAAGAUGGUAGCUCUUUUUUUUCCUGAAAAAUGUUAUUUUAACUAUGGAUAGAGUCUAACUUCAGCAUGAAUGGAUAAUUUAUCAAUGCAUAGAAAAAUAUCAGUAGCAAUUUUUGUAGAUUAAAUUGUAUUUAGGAAAUAAUAAACUAUUUAAAUGAGAGAGAUUUAGGUGUUAUCCUUAUAGCUCUAGCAUAUAUCUUGUUCCAAUAUAUAUAUAUAUAUAAAAGAAGCAUAUCAA
This 274-nucleotide long non-coding RNA is filed under the name Elaeis guineensis (African oil palm). Its description in RNAcentral is "long non-coding RNA (EGUI_LNC073434)". Lineage: Eukaryota; Viridiplantae; Streptophyta; Magnoliopsida; Arecales; Arecaceae. The record is from RNAcentral.